UGUAAUGCUUCUGCUCAACCGGCGGAUUGCAUCAGAAACUGUUGAACUUGAGUGCAGAAGAGGAGAGUGGAACUCCAUGUGUAGCGGUGGAAUGCGUAGAUAUAUGGGAGAACACCAGUGGCGAAGGCGGCUCUCUGGUCUGCAACUGACGCUGAGGCUCGAAAGCAUGGGUAGCGA
Molecule: ribosomal RNA, 177 nt
Filed under: uncultured bacterium
Lineage: Bacteria
Description: partial 16S ribosomal RNA
Rfam family: Bacterial small subunit ribosomal RNA
Source: RNAcentral